This 465-nucleotide ribosomal RNA is filed under the name Vreelandella stevensii. Its description in RNAcentral is "partial 16S ribosomal RNA". It matches the Rfam family "Bacterial small subunit ribosomal RNA", at positions 338 to 795 of the family's 1533-position model. Lineage: Bacteria; Pseudomonadati; Pseudomonadota; Gammaproteobacteria; Oceanospirillales; Halomonadaceae. The record is from RNAcentral.
CCUACGUGUGGCAGCAGUGGGGAAUAUUGGACAAUGGGCGAAAGCCUGAUCCAGCCAUGCCGCGUGUGUGAAGAAGGCCUUCGGGUUGUAAAGCACUUUCAGUGGGGAAGAAAGCCUUGGGGCUAAUACCCUCGAGGAAGGACAUCACCCACAGAAGAAGCACCGGCUAACUCCGUGCCAGCAGCCGCGGUAAUACGGAGGGUGCGAGCGUUAAUCGGAAUUACUGGGCGUAAAGCGCGCGUAGGCGGUCUGAUAAGCCGGUUGUGAAAGCCCCGGGCUCAACCUGGGAACGGCAUCCGGGACUGUCAGGCUAGAGUGUAGGAGAGGAAGGUAGAAUUCCAGGUGUAGCGGUGAAAGGCGUAGAGAUGGGGAGGAACACCAGUGGCGAAGGCGGCCUUCUGGACUGACACUGACGCUGAGGCGCGAAAGCGUGGGUAGCAAACAGGAUUAGAUACCCCAGUAGUC